UGGGGAAUUUUGGACAAUGGGCGAAAGCCUGAUCCAGCCAUGCCGCGUGAGUGAAGAAGGCCUUCGGGUUGUAAAGCUCUCUCAGGUGGAAAGAAAACGCAUAGGUUAAUACCUUGUGCGGAUGACGGUACCAUCGGAAGAAGCACCGGCUAACUACGUGCCAGCAGCCGCGGUAAUACGUAGGGUGCGAGCGUUAAUCGGCAUUACUGGGCGUAAAGCGUGCGCAGGCGGUUAUGUAAGACAGAUGUGAAAUCCCCGGGCGCAACCUGGGAACUGCGUUUGUGACUGCAUAACUAGAGUGCGGCAGAGGGGGGUGGAAUUCCGCGUGUAGCAGUGAAAUGCGUAGAUAUGCGGAGGAACACCGAUGGAGAAGGCAGCCUCCUGGGCCAGUACUGACGCUCAGGCACGAAAGCGUGGGGAGCAAACA
This 427-nucleotide ribosomal RNA is filed under the name uncultured bacterium. RNAcentral describes it as "bacterial SSU rRNA". It matches the Rfam family "Bacterial small subunit ribosomal RNA", at positions 355 to 774 of the family's 1533-position model. The record is from RNAcentral.